This 158-nucleotide ribosomal RNA is filed under the name Francisella tularensis subsp. holarctica. RNAcentral describes it as "partial 16S ribosomal RNA". It matches the Rfam family "Bacterial small subunit ribosomal RNA", at positions 1372 to 1533 of the family's 1533-position model. The record is from RNAcentral. Lineage: Bacteria; Pseudomonadati; Pseudomonadota; Gammaproteobacteria; Thiotrichales; Francisellaceae.
UUCCAGGUAUGGUACAGAACGUACGUGUCACCAUGGGGGUAGGUGGUGCCUGAAGGAUUUGACAGAAUGAAUGGGCGUGUACCACGGAGUGACUCAUGACUGGGGUUAAAUCGUAACAAGGUAGCCGUAGUGGAACCUGCGGCUGGAUCACCUCCUUA